RNAcentral lists this transfer RNA (72 nucleotides) under Entomophthora muscae. Its description in RNAcentral is "tRNA-Ala". It matches the Rfam family "tRNA". Rfam says of the family: Transfer RNA (tRNA) molecules are approximately 80 nucleotides in length. Their secondary structure includes four short double-helical elements and three loops (D, anti-codon, and T loops). Lineage: Eukaryota; Fungi; Entomophthoromycota; Entomophthoromycetes; Entomophthorales; Entomophthoraceae. The record is from RNAcentral.
GGGGAAUUAGCUCAAAUGGUAGAGCGCUCGCUUAGCAUGCGAGAGGCACGGGAAUCGAUGUCCGAUUCUCCA